This 330-nucleotide long non-coding RNA is filed under the name Musa acuminata (dwarf banana). RNAcentral's name for it is "long non-coding RNA (MACU_LNC009946)". The record is from RNAcentral. Lineage: Eukaryota; Viridiplantae; Streptophyta; Magnoliopsida; Zingiberales; Musaceae.
UGAAAACUUUCUUCUUAAUGGUGCCUUAAAUUACUUAGGUUUGGCUCAUGCUAAAAUAGUGAGGUAGCAAGCAUGCAUGGGGGUUUAGGUGUCAACUUUAGAAUAAAUGCUAAGUGGCUCAUCCUUGUUAAUGACACAUGUCCUCCAUUUUAUUUUAUUUUAUUUUUAUUUACUCAAUUCUGAAUAUUCUAUAAAUCAUCUCAAACAUUUAAUAUUUACUCUUAGGUCCUUAGCCAUAAACUUUAAUAUAAUAUUAUUUAAUAAAAAAAAUUAUUAAAUAAUCCUCAUAUUUACAAACAAGUAUUUACUAUUUUUUUUUUUAAAUGGGGG